This 442-nucleotide ribosomal RNA is filed under the name uncultured bacterium. RNAcentral describes it as "partial 16S ribosomal RNA". It matches the Rfam family "Bacterial small subunit ribosomal RNA", at positions 338 to 795 of the family's 1533-position model. The record is from RNAcentral.
CCUACGGGAGGCAGCAGUAGGGAAUCUUUCACAAUGGGCGAAAGCCUGAUGGAGCAACGCCGCGUGCAGGAUGAAGGCCUUCGGGUUGUAAACUGCUUUUAUAAGCGAGAAAUAUGAUGGUAACUUAUGAAUAAGGAUCGGCUAACUACGUGCCAGCAGCCGCGGUCAUACGUAGGAUCCGAGCAUUAUCCGGAGUGACUGGGUGUAAAGAGUUGCGUAGGUGGCAUAAUAAGUAGCUAGUGAAAUCUGGUGGCUCAACCAUUCAGACUAUUAGCUAAACUGUUAAGCUCGAGACCGUUAGGGGUAACUGGAAUUACUAGUGUAGGAGUGAAAUCCGUAGAUAUUAGAAGGAACACCAAUAGCGUAGGCAGGUUGCUGGGACGGUUCUGACACUAAGGCACGAAAGCGUAGGGAGCAAACGGGAUUAGAUACCCGUGUAGUC